GACGAACGCUGGCGGCGUGCUUAACACAUGCAAGUCGAACGAUGAAGAAAAGAAUUGAAGCUUCGGCAGAAAUUCAUUUCGGAUUAGUGGCAGACGGGUGAGUAACGCGUGAGCAACCUACCUCUUACAAAGGGAUAGCCUCGGGAAACCGGGAUAAAUACCAUAUAACAUUGCGACGAAGCAUUUCGAUGCAAUCAAAGCUACGGCGGUAAGAGAUGGGCUCGCGUCCCAUUAACCAGAUGGUGAGGUAACGGCUCACCAUAGUAACGAUGGGUAACCGGGCUGAGAGGGUGAACGGUCACACUGGAACUGAGACACGGUCCAGACUCCUACGGGAGGCAGCAGUGGGGAAUAUUGCACAAUGGAGGGAACUCUGAUGCAGCGACGCCGCGUGAGUGAUGAAGGAAUUCGUUUCGUAAAACUCUGUUCUAUGGGAAGAAAAGGACUGUACCAUAGGAGAAAGCUCCGGCUAAAUACGUG
This 480-nucleotide ribosomal RNA is filed under the name uncultured bacterium. Its description in RNAcentral is "partial 16S ribosomal RNA". It matches the Rfam family "Bacterial small subunit ribosomal RNA", at positions 28 to 507 of the family's 1533-position model. The record is from RNAcentral.